UUCCAGGGUUUAGGUUGGAAGCACAGUGUUUGCUUACCACAUUGCCCCUGGGUUUGCCUCUGGCUUGUGCUUCCUAGAGGAAAGGCGAUGGGUCUGCUGCUGGUUCCUAAAACAGUGCCAGUCUGUGAUGGCCUUCUGGUGGUGAAACCAGUUUACAAGCAGCAGCAUCACAAAUGUCAUCCCGCAAAGACUGGAAAAGGAGCCCUUUGUCUAUGGGUCUACACCCAUGGCCCUGCUUUCCUUCUCACACCCCAGAGCUACCAUGCGUGCCUCCUAGGACCUCCUGGCCACAUCCCCCUGGCUGCAGAAGAAAAUUGACAAUACCCAAAAUAAUAUAGUGGCUUUUAUGCUUCCCCAUGCUGUCCAGCUGACAGGCGUCAGCUCCAUUUCACACUGACUCCUAGCCU
Long non-coding RNA from Pezoporus flaviventris, 407 nucleotides. RefSeq lists it as uncharacterized. The transcript is spliced from 3 exons. Lineage: Eukaryota; Metazoa; Chordata; Aves; Psittaciformes; Psittacidae. The record is from RefSeq and is a predicted model, not a curated record.